GUGCUCGCUUUGGCAGCAUGUAUACUAAAACUGGAAUGAUACAGAGAAGAUUAGCACGGCCCCUGUGCAAAGAUGACAUACAAAUUUGUGAAGUGUUCCAUGUUUUA
This 107-nucleotide small nuclear RNA is filed under the name Sus scrofa (pig). Lineage: Eukaryota; Metazoa; Chordata; Mammalia; Artiodactyla; Suidae. The record is from RNAcentral.